AACCGGGGCUGUUAUCUUUAUCGGCGGAUUGGAAGGUCCGUGUUGGCUGCCAAAGUAUUUUGUUCCUUCAUACCUCUCCAGGUGUCACUAUGACCGCCGUAGAAUUGCACGUGUUGCGGUCGGCCGCUUUGAGAAAUAUUCUAAUUCCCAUGAGUUUGGCCAGUGUCGGUCGUUGUAUGAAGCCGCGUAGUUCGGCAGUAAAGCGUGCCUUUCAAACAAACAUGUCUUACACCACGGUUGAGAAGGGAACACCAAACACGACCAAUUACAGGAUAUAUUUCAAAAAUGACAAAGGGCCAGUUUCUCCGUUACACGACAUACCGUUGUACGCUGAUGAGGCAAAAAAGAUAUUCAAUAUGGUAGUAGAAGUGCCACGAUGGACGAAUGCCAAGAUGGAGAUAAGCUUGAAAGAAACACUAAAUCCAAUCAAGCAGGAUGUAAAGAAAGGAAAACUUAGGUUUGUUGCAAAUUGUUUCCCGCAUCACGGCUACAUUUGGAACUACGGAGCCAUUCCGCAGACGUGGGAAAAUCCUGAGGUAUUGGACGAAGCAACAGGCUGCAAAGGUGAUAAUGACCCUAUAGAUGUCCUGGAAAUUGGAUACAAAGUAGCCAAGCGUGGUGAAGUCUUGAAAGUCAAGGUGCUUGGUACCGUCGCACUAAUCGAUGAAGGUGAAACUGACUGGAAAAUUCUUACCAUCGAUAUCAAUGAUCCCCUGGCUGACCAGUUAAACGAUGUUAAUGACAUCGAGAAACAUUUCCCUGGGCUACUAAAGGCGACUAUAGAAUGGUUUAAAAUAUAUAAGAUUCCUGACGGUAAACCAGAAAAUCAAUUUGCUUUCAAUGGAGAAGCAAAACCUAAGGAUUUCGCAUUACAUAUCAUUGACGAAGUGCAUCAGCAUUGGCAAAGCCUUAUAAAAAAAGAAGCACCAGCUGGUGGUAUUGCUUGCACCAACGUAAGCAUAGAAGGCAGUCCUUUUAAAACUACUGUUGGUAGUAUGGAGGAAGUACUUGCCAAGGCUCCUGAAGCUGGAGAUGCACCGCCCAUUGACAGUUCUGUGCAUAAGAGUUAUUUCGUGAAAGUCGAAGAAUUGAAAAACAAAUUAUAAUAUUUUAUAACUUUGCUGUCGGUGUUCCCGAAUUACUUAUAUCUUCACGUUUGUUACCUAGUGUAAAAAAAAAAGAAAACUUUGAUUUGAUAAGUGGCAUUACAUACAUUUGAAGUGAAGCAUGGAAGGUUCAUCUCCGAUGUUGUUUCCACUUUGCAAAAUGAUGCCUCGAUGGAUUUCAAAUGUUGACGUAAUUCCUUGCAGAUUUCUAAUUCACUAGAAUGUUCUAUGCGGAAAAAGUUUCAGCAUAAGACAAUCUCAAUGUACCUCUAUAUUGACUGAAAAGUCUAAAUUGUGAAAAAAUUUAUGCAUAUUGUUACUAGCUGCUUGUAUCAUAACACAACACCACUUCCCCACACUAGCUCAUUCAUUCACAUUUGAUUACCUUACUAGUGGAGAGUUUAUUAUUACUCAAGUACUACAGAUAUUUUUUCUAUCAUUUGUUUCAACGACGGUUAAUGAUUAUUUAUUUAUUUCAGUAUAAUUGUGGGAUCAGGAUAGGAUAGAGUGUCUGUGUCUAACAGUCAUUCGUUUCCAUUAGGUUAGCUAUUCCUUUAUUGAAUAUCAUACGAUAUUUGUCUUAUAUAAAUAAAUAAACUCCGUUAUUCCAAGUA
This is an RNA transcript of Diprion similis, 1720 nucleotides long. It is a transcript of the gene named inorganic pyrophosphatase, with no coding region annotated. NCBI's taxonomy places the organism in Eukaryota, Metazoa, Arthropoda, Insecta, Hymenoptera, Diprionidae. The record is from RefSeq and is a predicted model, not a curated record. The transcript has 9 exons.